GCAGAUAGAAUUAAGGUAGCUGACUCAGCUGGCCUUAAAGUGGGGCCAUCCUCCUGGAGAAUCCACGUGGGCCUAAUGUAAUCACGAGGGUCUUUAUAAGUGAAAGAGGGAGGUGGGAAAGUUGGAGUCAGAGUCAGAGAAGGAGAUGUGAUGACGGAAACAGAGAUUGGAGUGAUGUGAUUGCUGCUUUAGAGAUGGAAGGGGGCCACAAGCCAAGGAAUGCAGGCAGCCUCUUGUAACUGGAGAAGUCAGGGACAUGGAUUCUCUCCUGGAGUUUCUGGAAGAAAACAGCCCUGCUGACACCUUGGUUUUAGCCCUGUGAGACCCAUUUGGAACUUCUGACCUCCAAAACUAAGGCUCGCUGGAACGGAGACCACCCCCAGAGAAGUUUUAGAGACUAAAUGUUGAAGAUGGCAGAGCUGAAAGUGCUUGACCCGCCCAUUCCCUUGCCCCUGAAUCUUUGCUUGGAGUAGAGACACUUCAUGAUAGGAAGCACUCGUUUUGGAAUUUACGUGACUGAGAAACGUAUAUUGUGUCAAGACCUUUCAAAGCAAGAAAUAAACUUCCUGACAAAACACGACCUUAAAGCUUACAACAUCCCUAGCUUUCAUCGGCGUCUCCAAGGAGUCUACGACCCCCCAAGAGUUAGGAGCC
RNAcentral lists this long non-coding RNA (654 nucleotides) under Equus caballus (horse). RNAcentral describes it as "lncRNA (ENSECAG00000051397.1)". Lineage: Eukaryota; Metazoa; Chordata; Mammalia; Perissodactyla; Equidae. The record is from RNAcentral.